Motacilla alba alba is the source of this 2754-nucleotide RNA transcript. It is a transcript of the gene named SH3 domain containing GRB2 like, endophilin B2, with no coding region annotated. The record is from RefSeq and is a predicted model, not a curated record. The transcript has 13 exons. Lineage: Eukaryota; Metazoa; Chordata; Aves; Passeriformes; Motacillidae.
GCGCCCCCGCCCGCCGAGGCGCUGCCGGGGCUCACGCACUCUGUCUGAAGCCGUAGCCCUUUUAAGCGGCGCGGAGCGGGCGUCACCCGGCGCUAUAAAAGGCGGCGGCGCGGCGGGCGCGGUGACAGCGGGGGCGCGGCACGGCCGGGGCCGCUUCGGGGCCGCCAUGGAGUUCAACGUGAAGAAGCUGGCGUCGGACGCGGGGGUCUUCUUCUCCCGCGCCAUGCAGUUCACUGAAGAAAAGCUGGGCCAGGCUGAGAAGACUGAACUUGAUGCCCACUUUGAAAACCUCCUGGCCAGGGCAGACUGCACGAAGAACUGGACAGAGAAGAUCCUGCGUCAGACUGAAGUUCUGCUACAGCCAAACCCCAGUGCCAGAGUAGAAGAAUUCCUGUAUGAGAAGCUCGACCGGAAGGUGCCUUCCCGGGUCACCAACGGGGAGCUGCUGGCACAGUACAUGACAGAGGCAGCCAGUGACUUUGGGCCAGGGACACCUUAUGGAAAGACUUUGAUAAAAGUUGGAGAGACUCAGAGGCGCUUGGGCGCAGCAGAACGGGAAUUCAUCCGCUCUGCCUCCAUCAGCUUCCUGACCCCGCUGCGCAACUUCCUGGAGGGGGACUGGAGAACCAUCUCUAAAGAGAGGAGGAUCCUGCAGAACCGACGCCUGGAUCUGGAUGCCUGCAAAGCCAGGCUGAAGAAGGCCAAAGCUGCCGAGGCAAAAGCAGCGUGUGAGGGAGAUGCUGUGCCUGACUUUCAGGAAACCAGACCUCGUAAUUACGUGCUCUCGGCCAGCGCCUCAGCGUGCCGAGUGCUCCACAACGUCUCCAACACUGAUCUCCUUUCCUGUUGCUCUGUGGCCCCCACAGCUUUGGAGCGACGAGGUGGAAAAAGCGGAGCACGAGCUGAGGCUCACCCAGAGCGAGUUCGACCGGCAGGCAGAGGUGACCCGGCUGCUGCUGGAGGGCAUCAGCAGCACACACGUGAAUCAUCUGCGCUGUCUCCACGAGUUUGUGGAGUCUCAGACCAACUACUAUGCUCAGUGCUACCAGUUCAUGCUGGAUCUACAGAAGCAACUGGGCAGCUCCAAAGGAGAAAUAUUUUCAGGUACGUUCGUAGGCAACGCGGAAUCCGCGUCUCCCGCAGGCGUUACCUCUCCUCCAGCUGCUGCUGCCACGCUCCCUGCUGUGCCUACAAUCCCAGUGGUGCCCACAAUUGUUGGGGUGCCCAACACCGUGGCAGAGGCUGUGCUGAACCCCAAUGAAGUCAAGCCUCCUGCCAGCGGGACGCGCAGGGCCAGAGUCCUCUACGACUACGAAGCAGCUGACAGCACUGAGCUGGCACUUCUUGCAGAUGAGAUGAUCACUGUGUACAGCCUGCCAGGCAUGGAUCCAGACUGGCUCAUAGGGGAAAGAGGGAACCAGAAAGGGAAAGUUCCUGUCACUUACUUGGAACUGUUAAGUUAAACGUUAAGGAAGAAGAAUGUAAAAGCAGAAUGCACCCCUCAUCUGGCACUUCUAAUGCGGAUUUCCUCAUCCGAGACCAUUGCUCUCUUCAGGGUCGACACUCCAUUGCUAAUAUGGGAACUGGGGGAAAGAAGUGGGAAUACUUAGGUUAUGGUGAGGUUUUGGGAAAGGGCUGAUGGCACCCAAGACUCAAUUCGUUACCUACCAGUGCAGCCUGCUUUGAGGUUAGUCCUGAUGGCACAAGAUUCCUUGAUUACAUUUUCCCUUCCCUGCCCCAGUCUUGUUCCUCCCUGUGGCUUUCCCGGGGUGAGCUCUGUCCCUCAGCAGCUGCUCACCAGUUCCACUCCCCGUGUCAGGUGUGGGUCAGUGCCUGUCUGCCCCUCUCCUCCAGCAGUAGAAUUGCCCAAGUCCACCCAUGGAGCAUUCCAGCGGGGAAGUGUCCCACGCACCCCCUCUGCCCUGUUCCAGCACGCAAGGCAAGGCGGCUGCAGUUAAAAUUUAGGAGCCUGUUAAGCCCACCCACCCUGCUGUCCCCUGGGAGACCAGCAAUGCACAGCUGGCCAGGAGCCACAGUCACUGUCCUGGGGUGGACACUCCCACCUGCCCCUGUCCCCUGAAGCUGGAAGAUUUCUUUGUGAAGACCAACCCGCUACCGUAGGGCCUAACCCCAAACCUCUGUGAAAGGGACCAUGCGUCUUGCUUGCAUUUCCUCUGGGAAAUUGCUCUUGGACUGCAAAGUUUACAAGCCUUUUUACAAGCUUUGCUCCCUGUGUUAUUGUCCGGGCUUUUCUUUCAGUGUGUCUGUCCAGGCAUGUUUUAGCCUGACUUUAUUUCCACCCUGAAUCACUGGUUUAAUGAAUGUUUCCCCUCCCAUGUCAGCAGUGAACAGACUUGGUGCAUCCUAGUGCAGAAAGGGACAGUCCCCCUGCUGUGACCCCCAACAAGGAGCUGUUCUUGGCCACACACACCCCACAACCCAGGCUCAGCUCAGGUGUGUGUGUGCCUGCUCACUCUGGAAUGAACUCUUAGCUAGAGCUCACCUAAAGGACUUCCACUUGAUGUGUCACAAGUUUUCCACUCAAGCUGGAUGGAAGAGAAACUCACCUGCACCAAACUCUGUUCACACCCUUCCCCAGGUAUGUCAGAACUAACUUUGCUUGUUUAUUGAUCUUUUGCACUUUCCCAAAGGUUUCGUGACCAUUCUAAUGUAACAGGGCACUGAGCACCUGUGUUUGUGGGGCUCAUGGGUUUCAGCACUUAUUUGCCAAUAAACAAACUGCCUGACCUCCUG